This 537-nucleotide ribosomal RNA is filed under the name Metzgeria polytricha. Its description in RNAcentral is "eukaryotic LSU rRNA". The stretch from base 382 to 537 matches the Rfam family "Eukaryotic large subunit ribosomal RNA", at positions 1 to 156 of the family's 3401-position model. The record is from RNAcentral. Lineage: Eukaryota; Viridiplantae; Streptophyta; Jungermanniopsida; Metzgeriales; Metzgeriaceae.
CGAUGAAGAACGCAGCGAAAUGCGAUACCUAGUGUGAAUUGCAGAAUUCCGCGAAUCAUCGAGUCUUUGAACGCAAGUUGCGCCCGAGGCUUGUCCCGAGGGCAUGCCUGCCUGAGCGUCACCGCACUCCCACCCGACGAACCUUCGUCGUGAGUGGAACUGGCCGUCCGAGAUCGGGCGUCGAUGCCUAGCGUCGCGGUCGGCUGAAAUGGAGCGUUCCGGACGUAACCGGGGAGGGGGAUAGCGAGAAGGUGAUCCGUUCUACGAGCGGAGUCAAAUUUUGACAGCGUCCCUCGCCUCGGAUUGUCCCACGGAACUCGGAGCGGGAGCCGGCCCGGUCGAUCGCUUUCGCGGUCGAUCGGGCCGGUUUCAUCACGGCUCGGACCUCAGAUCAGGCAAGAUUACCCGCUGAGUUUAAGCAUAUCACUAAGCGGAGGAAAAGAAACUAACAAGGAUUUCCCUAGUAACGGCGAGCGAACCGGAAAGAGCCCAGCUUGUAAAUCGCGGGGUUUGGCCGUGCGAAUUGUAGUCUGGAGA